Vigna unguiculata (cowpea) is the source of this 2105-nucleotide long non-coding RNA. RefSeq lists it as uncharacterized. Lineage: Eukaryota; Viridiplantae; Streptophyta; Magnoliopsida; Fabales; Fabaceae. The record is from RefSeq and is a predicted model, not a curated record.
UUUGGUUCCACUUUAGCUUUUAUAUUUUUCCUCUUUUUCGUAAUUUUUAAAGUUUUUAAUUUCGCUAUUCUGACUUUCUCUCUUUCUUUCUAUUCUUAGUGUGUUACCCUAAGAAGACCAAGAAGCUUUCGCUCAUUCUGUGUUACCCUACGAAUACGAAGAAGACAAACAAGCUUUCCCUCGUUCUAUGCCUUCCAUUGUUCUCCCUCUCCCUGCGAUCAAAGAGCUGAAGAUGUUCUUUCUCUUUCGAUUUUAUCUCUCUAAUUUCGUCUGAGUCCCAUUUUAAAGAUCUUAUUCUAGUUGUGCAUUGCUGUCCUGUUUCAAUUUUUGAAUUGAUUUUAGUUUAUCUCUUUCCCAUGCCCUAACUCAGUUUUUUUGCUUAAAGUUUAUAGUACUCCUUUCAAUUUCCCUAAUUUAUUUUGUGCUUUCAUCUUUCUCAUAUCCUAUCUCCUCCGCCUAAUUGUUAGUAUGUUUUUUUAUUACUUUGGACAGAUUAAACAUGGAGUGGUGAUUGGGGAUUUGGGAUUUGGACAACUUUUCAAACUUUGUACACUCGAUUGGAACUCAAACACAUAGUAGAAGAACUACAUAAAGCCAAGAUAGCAAAGUGAAUCUUCAUUGCCAUUGUGAAUAACAAGCUAGCUGUGUAUGCUUUGAUAUGGUUUUUAGGGUAGAAACUCAAGAUGGAGGUGAUGCAAAGGUUAAAAUUUCUCCUCGUGAUAUAGUUUAUACACAGCUUGCUAAACCUAUAGAAGGUGAACAACCAACGAUAUUCCACAAGCUUGAUUUCUGCUAUGGGUGUGUAGAACAAAUUAUAAAUUCUAAAAUGCAGUUCUCCACCAGUUAUAAAUUCUGCAAUAUGACAAAUAUGCAUAUUGGAAGUUUUGAGGAGGAAUUGUCGUCCAAUCCAUCAGAUGAAGUGGCAGAGUACAUAUUGGAAGGGAAAUGGCAAAAGGUUGUGAACAUGUAUAACCAAUUCCCAACUUGUCACACGACAAUGAUUAACCCAUCCGUGGGCACUACGCUGCACGUGGUGGUGGAUUUGGACGAAGAGGAAGUGGUUGAAAAGCUUGUGAAUGCCAUCAUCAGACACAAGACGAUGAAGGCUCUAGAAAUGAGGAACUAUUGAGGGGAUAUCGCUCUGCAUGUUGCUGCUUCCAAGGGUUUCGCAAAGAUAUGUGAGUUGAUCAUAGGAACCAAGAAGGAGAGGAUUUACUUGGUGAGACUCAAGAACAAAGAAGGAGAGACACCUCUCUUUGAAGCUGCUCUCAACUAGAAGAAACUGGUCUUUGCUUAUCUUUCUAACAUUUCUGACAACAGUCCUCCAUUGGAAGAUCUUGUGCGACACAAUGAUGACACUAUUCUUAAUUGUGCUAUUAGAAGAGAGUAUUUUGUUACUCUUGUGGAAGAACUAGACUCUAAAAGACAAAUGGAGACAAUUUUGGAAAAGGUGAAGAAGCAACCAAAAUCUGACGAACCAUAUUUUCCAAAGAACUGUCACAUUAUGUGACUUCAUUGCUGGAUUCAAAUGUCUUGAUGCUCUAACUGAUUUUGAAUCAUGGCGUUUGCAGACAAUUUUUUUUACUAAAAGUAAACAGCAAGACCCAAAAAACCCAUCAACUGAGGAGCGUGAAAUCGAAUCUAAAGCUUCUGGGGAUGCAUUUGUACUUACUCUUUGGCUUUUAGGAGUAGAAGAGGAGGAUAGGAAGGUAGUACUUUCACUGUUUGAGAAGAAUUUCCCAAAUGAACUUAUGUGGAAAAGAUAGAACUUGAAGCUAUACAGAGAGCAACUUCUACAUUGGAGAUCAAAUCUGCAUUCUCUCUCUUAGUAGAGAAAGCAACUAUCAAGAAUCAACUUGAUGAAGUGAAUGAAACAAUCCCAAAGGAGGAGCUUUUAGAAUACCUGAUGUAUCUCUUUUACACCAUAAUCACUUGUUAAUUUUUCUUGUUUAAAAUAAAUAACAUUGUACUGACUCUUUAAUUUUAACUUUUGGGCUUUGUCAUUUACAUUGUUUGAUAUUAAAAUUGUAGACUUUGUUAUUUGUUCCUUUUAUAAAUAUAUGUACAAAUUAUAAAUACCAAAUAUCUAAAAUAUUUGUCUUUUA